RNAcentral lists this ribosomal RNA (497 nucleotides) under uncultured bacterium. RNAcentral describes it as "partial 16S ribosomal RNA". It matches the Rfam family "Bacterial small subunit ribosomal RNA", at positions 28 to 507 of the family's 1533-position model. The record is from RNAcentral.
GAUGAACGCUGGCGGCGUGCCUAAUACAUGCAAGUCGAGCGAACAGAUGAGGAGCUUGCUCCUCUGACGUUAGCGGCGGACGGGUGAGUAACACGUGGAUAACCUACCUAUAAGACUGGGAUAACUUCGGGAAACCGGAGCUAAUACCGGAUAAUAUAUUGAACCGCAUGGUUCAAUAGUGAAAGACGGUUUUGCUGUCACUUAUAGAUGGAUCCGCGCCGCAUUAGCUAGUUGGUAAGGUAACGGCUUACCAAGGCAACGAUGCGUAGCCGACCUGAGAGGGUGAUCGGCCACACUGGAACUGAGACACGGUCCAGACUCCUACGGGAGGCGGCAGUAGGGAAUCUUCCGCAAUGGGCGAAAGCCUGACGCAGCAACGCCGCGUGAGUGAUGAAGGUCUUCGGAUCGUAAAACUCUGUUAUUAGGGAAGAACAAAUGUGUAAGUAACUAUGCACGUCUUGACGGUACCUAAUCAGAAAGCCACGGCUAACUACGUG